RNAcentral lists this transfer RNA (72 nucleotides) under Candidatus Curtissbacteria bacterium. Its description in RNAcentral is "tRNA-His". It matches the Rfam family "tRNA". Rfam says of the family: Transfer RNA (tRNA) molecules are approximately 80 nucleotides in length. Lineage: Bacteria; Candidatus Curtissiibacteriota. The record is from RNAcentral.
GAGGUCGUAGCUCAAUGGCAGAGCAGCAGCUUGUGGAGCUGCGGGUUGGGGGUUCAAUUCCCCUCGGCCUCC